GAUGAACGCUAGCGGGAGGCUUAAUACAUGCAAGUCGAGGGGUAACAGGGGCUUCGGCCCGCUGACGACCGGCGCACGGGUGAGUAACGCGUACGCAACUUACCUCCAAGCGAGGGAUAGCCCUGGGAAACUGGGAUUAAUACCUCAUGUGAUUAUGAUGCCGCAUGGUGUUAUAAUUAAAGUUCAGGCGCUUGGAGAUGGGCGUGCGUCCUAUUAGCUAGUUGGUGAGGUAACGGCUCACCAAGGCGACGAUAGGUAGGGGCGUGAGAGCGUGGCCCCCGACCACGGGUACGUGAGACACGGACCCGACUCCUACGGAGGCAGCAGUAAGGAAUAUUGGACAAUGGGCGGCAAGCCUGAUCCAGCCAUCCCGCGUGCAGGAUGACAGCCCUACCGGGUUGUAAACUGC
RNAcentral lists this ribosomal RNA (409 nucleotides) under uncultured bacterium. Its description in RNAcentral is "bacterial SSU rRNA". It matches the Rfam family "Bacterial small subunit ribosomal RNA", at positions 28 to 433 of the family's 1533-position model. The record is from RNAcentral.